Long non-coding RNA from Zophobas morio, 897 nucleotides. RefSeq lists it as uncharacterized. NCBI's taxonomy places the organism in Eukaryota, Metazoa, Arthropoda, Insecta, Coleoptera, Tenebrionidae. The record is from RefSeq and is a predicted model, not a curated record. The transcript is spliced from 3 exons.
ACCAUCCUCCUUAUGGUGCCGAUAUUCCAUGUUGCGAACCCUGGUGUUGAUUACGAAGAAUGUUGAUAUUUCUGAAUAUCAUCAGGUUGUGGCUUUCUUCUCGGAAAUCAGAAGGUUCCCGACCCAGAAAAUCGUUUAUUUGUUCCAAAGAAGAGAUAAAUCAAUUUCUUAAGAAAAUGAAUGAUAAGGAUUUCUUAUUUUUGAAGUUUCAGGUUGUUUUGAUAGUCGGAGUGUUUGGUGCUUGUCGACACGAGGAGAUCACAAAUUUUACGACACGAGACGUUAGAGCCGAAAAAGAAUUUAGAUACAGAUUCACCGAUUAACAAAAUAGACGAACAACUAUUUGAAGAUGUCACUACAACUAAAAUUGUUGACAUCAUUUAUUACUUAGCUGGAUUUGUCGCAAAAAAUUGUACAAUACUUCAAAAUGUAAUAUUUGCCGUGAACAGUUAAAUAUAUAACAAAGAGGAUCCAUGUUCUAGUACAUCUGAAUUUACUAGUACAAAAUCCAGGGGGUGGUUAAACCAUCCAGAUUUGUUAAUGUUUAAUAUGUUCCGAUGGUGGAAGGGAUACUUAUGAAAUAUAUCUAUUUUGUGGAUGUAUUCGAUGCAACAAUUGAAGAGCUAUUCGUAACAAAAAUUUUUAUGACUAUUUACUUUCCUUUUUCUUGUGAAGAGCAUAGAAUGGAAAUAUUUUCAAAGGCAAUAUAUUUUUACACAAUUAUGCAAAUUAAACAAUUUUAUAAACAGGAACAAGAGAAAACAACCAAGGCAUGUGCAGAAAAAAGAAAAGAGUCUCGAUUACAGACUACGUAAUAAUGUUGUCUUGUGAAACGAACAGAAGUGAGUGAAACUAAUAUAAUAUGUGAAGACGAAAAGAACUAUCUUUAACAACGAG